Molecule: non-coding RNA, 330 nt
Organism: Ceratotherium simum simum (southern white rhinoceros)
Lineage: Eukaryota; Metazoa; Chordata; Mammalia; Perissodactyla; Rhinocerotidae
Source: RefSeq, a predicted model, not a curated record
UCUUUUAAUAAUAGGAACGAUUAGAGAAAGAGAAACCACAGAAUGAUGGAAAGCCCAUGAGUGAUAAAACCUUUGAAAAGAAACGUAGAGACACUAAGACACCAACAACUCUGCUCAAGAGCAUCCCCAUUUCUGUUCUGGGCCCUCUUCUGGCACCCCAUCAACAAGCAAAGAAAUCAAGAAAUCCAAAUUGAUUUGAAGCCAGUCUUUUAAUAAUCAAGAUUUUCAUGCAAAAUAUGGCAACUUAGACGAGUGUGCUAGUAAAAGUUCUGCAGCAGUAUAUACACCUUCCUUCUCAGCAAAGACUUCUGUGAUAUCACUAACUGGUAA